This 314-nucleotide ribosomal RNA is filed under the name uncultured Bacillota bacterium. RNAcentral describes it as "bacterial SSU rRNA". It matches the Rfam family "Bacterial small subunit ribosomal RNA", at positions 28 to 351 of the family's 1533-position model. The record is from RNAcentral. Lineage: Bacteria; Bacillati; Bacillota.
GAUGAACGCUGGCGGCGUGCCUAACACAUGCAAGUCGAGCGAUUCUCUUUGGAGAAGAGCGGCGGACGGGUGAGUAACGCGUGGGUAACCUGCCCUAUACACACGGAUAACGUACCGAAAGGUACGCUAAUACGAGAUAAUAUAUUUUUAUCGCAUGGUAAAAAUAUCAAAGCUCUGGCGGUAUAGGAUGGACCCGCGUCUGAUUAGCUAGUUGGUAAGGUAAUGGCUUACCAAGGCGACGAUCAGUAGCCGACCUGAGAGGGUGAUCGGCCACAUUGGAACUGAGACACGGUCCAAACUCCUACGGGAGGCUG